UGGUCAAUUUCUGCCCAUGCUGCAGUU
RNAcentral lists this non-coding RNA (27 nucleotides) under Rattus norvegicus (Norway rat). The record is from RNAcentral. Lineage: Eukaryota; Metazoa; Chordata; Mammalia; Rodentia; Muridae.